GCCUGAAUCAGUGUGUGUGUUAGUGGAAGCGUCUGGAAAGGCGCGCGAUACAGGGUGACAGCCCCGUACACAAAAAUGCACAUGCUGUGAGCUCGAUGAGUAGGGCGGGACACGUGGUAUCCUGUCUGAAUAUGGGGGGACCAUCCUCCAAGGCUAAAUACUCCUGACUGACCGAUAGUGAACCAGUACCGUGAGGGAAAGGCGAAAAGAACCCCGGCGAGGGGAGUGAAAAAGAACCUGAAACCGUGUACGUACAAGCAGUGGGAGCACAGAGCAAUCUGUGUGACUGCGUACCUUUUGUAUAAUGGGUCAGCGACUUAUAUUCUGUAGCAAGGUUAACCGAAUAGGGGAGCCGAAGGGAAACCGAGUCUUAACUGGGCGUUAAGUUGCAGGGUAUAGACCCGAAACCCGGUGAUCUAGCCAUGGGCAGGUUGAAGGUUGGGUAACACUAACUGGAGGACCGAACCGACUAAUGUUGAAAAAUUAGCGGAUGACUUGUGGCUGGGGGUGAAAGGCCAAUCAAACCGGGAGAUAGCUGGUUCUCCCCGAAAGCUAUUUAGGUAGCGCCUCGUGAAUUCAUCUCCGGGGGUAGAGCACUGUUUCGGCAAGGGGGUCAUCCCGACUUACCAACCCGAUGCAAACUGCGAAUACCGGAGAAUGUUAUCACGGGAGACACACGGCGGGUGCUAACGUCCGUCGUGAAGAGGGAAACAACCCAGACCGCCAGCUAAGGUCCCAAAGUCAUGGUUAAGUGGGAAACGAUGUGGGAAGGCCCAGACAGCCAGGAUGUUGGCUUAGAAGCAGCCAUCAUUUAAAGAAAGCGUAAUAGCUCACUGGUCGAGUCGGCCUGCGCGGAAGAUGUAACGGGGCUAAACCAUGCACCGAAGCUGCGGCAGCGACGCUUAUGCGUUGUUGGGUAGGGGAGCGUUCUGUAAGCCUGCGAAGGUGUGCUGUGAGGCAUGCUGGAGGUAUCAGAAGUGCGAAUGCUGACAUAAGUAACGAUAAAGCGGGUGAAAAGCCCGCUCGCCGGAAGACCAAGGGUUCCUGUCCAACGUUAAUCGGGGCAGGGUGAGUCGACCCCUAAGGCGAGGCCGAAAGGCGUAGUCGAUGGGAAACAGGUUAAUAUUCCUGUACUUGGUGUUACUGCGAAGGGGGGACGGAGAAGGCUAUGUUGGCCGGGCGACGGUUGUCCCGGUUUAAGCGUGUAGGCUGGUUUUCCAGGCAAAUCCGGAAAACUAAGGCUGAGGCGUGAUGACGAGGCACUACGGUGCUGAAGCAACAAAUGCCCUGCUUCCAGGAAAAGCCUCUAAGCAUCAGGUAACAUCAAAUCGUACCCCAAACCGACACAGGUGGUCAGGUAGAGAAUACCAAGGCGCUUGAGAGAACUCGGGUGAAGGAACUAGGCAAAAUGGUGCCGUAACUUCGGGAGAAGGCACGCUGAUAUGUAGGUGAAGUCCCUCGCGGAUGGAGCUGAAAUCAGUCGAAGAUACCAGCUGGCUGCAACUGUUUAUUAAAAACACAGCACUGUGCAAACACGAAAGUGGACGUAUACGGUGUGACGCCUGCCCGGUGCCGGAAGGUUAAUUGAUGGGGUUAGCGGUAACGCGAAGCUCUUGAUCGAAGCCCCGGUAAACGGCGGCCGUAACUAUAACGGUCCUAAGGUAGCGAAAUUCCUUGUCGGGUAAGUUCCGACCUGCACGAAUGGCGUAAUGAUGGCCAGGCUGUCUCCACCCGAGACUCAGUGAAAUUGAACUCGCUGUGAAGAUGCAGUGUACCCGCGGCAAGACGGAAAGACCCCGUGAACCUUUACUAUAGCUUGACACUGAACAUUGAGCCUUGAUGUGUAGGAUAGGUGGGAGGCUUUGAAGUGUGGACGCCAGUCUGCAUGGAGCCGGCCUUGAAAUACCACCCUUUAAUGUUUGAUGUUCUAACGUUGGCCCCUGAUCGGGGUUGCGGACAGUGUCUGGUGGGUAGUUUGACUGGGGCGGUCUCCUCCUAAAGAGUAACGGAGGAGCACGAAGGUUGGCUAAUCCUGGUCGGACAUCAGGAGGUUAGUGCAAUGGCAUAAGCCAGCUUGACUGCGAGCGUGACGGCGCGAGCAGGUGCGAAAGCAGGUCAUAGUGAUCCGGUGGUUCUGAAUGGAAGGGCCAUCGCUCAACGGAUAAAAGGUACUCCGGGGAUAACAGGCUGAUACCGCCCAAGAGUUCAUAUCGACGGCGGUGUUUGGCACCUCGAUGUCGGCUCAUCACAUCCUGGGGCUGAAGUAGGUCCCAAGGGUAUGGCUGUUCGCCAUUUAAAGUGGUACGCGAGCUGGGUUUAGAACGUCGUGAGACAGUUCGGUCCCUAUCUGCCGUGGGCGCUGGAGAACUGAGGGGGGCUGCUCCUAGUACGAGAGGACCGGAGUGGACGCAUCACUGGUGUUCGGGUUGUCAUGCCAAUGGCACUGCCCGGUAGCUAAAUGCGGAAGAGAUAAGUGCUGAAAGCAUCUAAGCACGAAACUUGCCCCGAGAUGAGUUCUCCCUGACUCCUUGA
Molecule: ribosomal RNA, 2532 nt
Filed under: Escherichia coli
Lineage: Bacteria; Pseudomonadati; Pseudomonadota; Gammaproteobacteria; Enterobacterales; Enterobacteriaceae
Description: bacterial LSU rRNA
Rfam family: Bacterial large subunit ribosomal RNA
Source: RNAcentral